AAAAAUACAGCUCAAUAAUAAUUCUCUUUUCUUCCAACGGUAAGAAAAGAAUAAAAUAAAAAGGACAACACACACUCUCUCUCUCUCUCUCUCUCUCUGCUGGGAACGGUUCUCUCUCUAAGCUCACACCACUCACUCUCUCUGUAAAAAAACGAAAAAAGAAAAGAAAACAAGAAGAGGACUUUUCCUCUUCUUCUCCGAAUACGCCACUCUUAUACGUUGUUAACCCUCCAUCUUCCUCGCCGCCGGAAACCCCAUUCGCCUCCCUCCUAACCGG
This 277-nucleotide long non-coding RNA is filed under the name Lathyrus oleraceus (garden pea). RNAcentral describes it as "Pisum sativum (pea) long non-coding RNA (PSAT_LNC013073)". Lineage: Eukaryota; Viridiplantae; Streptophyta; Magnoliopsida; Fabales; Fabaceae. The record is from RNAcentral.